UACAGAGGUCUCCAGCGUUGUUCGGGUUCAUUGGGCGUAAAGGGUGCGUAGGUGGCGCCGUAAGAGGGGUGUGAAAUCUCGGGGCUUAACUCCGAAACUGCAUUCCAUACUGCGGUGCUCGAGGACUGGAGAGGAGACUGGAAUUUACGGUGUAGCAGUGAAAUGCGUAGAGAUCGUAAGGAAGACCAGUGGCGAAGGCGGGUCUCUGGACAGUUCCUGACACUGAGGCACGAAGGCCUGGGGAGCAAACGGG
This 253-nucleotide ribosomal RNA is filed under the name uncultured bacterium. RNAcentral's name for it is "partial 16S ribosomal RNA". It matches the Rfam family "Bacterial small subunit ribosomal RNA", at positions 524 to 776 of the family's 1533-position model. The record is from RNAcentral.